GGCACAAAAUGAGCAACUCUCCUCAACUUAUACAGCGUGGUGAGUAUAUAACCCUUUAAAGACACUGUGUCUGUACAACUUUCUUGCAUCUCCCAGCUCAUGGCAAUCUUUGCUCUCCACUCCCACGUCCCCCACAGCAUUGGAGUGACAGGCUUACUCCCAUCCUAAGUUAGUGCAGAAGGAACAGCCGAUACUACUGUGACAUGGGCAAACUUCUGCUGGCGUGUGCACCCCAGCCACCCAGUAGCUUGCUCACUGGUGGCAUUAUCACGAUUUCUACUGCAAACCUUCAACCAAAGCCUCCUCCUCCCCUGCUACUUCCCACAGACAACUCUGAACAGGCUGUGGGCAGCACUACUUCCUUCUACCUGAGGGCAGAACACAUAUGGGAGGAAAGCAAAAUGGCAGGAUCCAGGAGAGGGAGCAACCAGAGCAAUGAGUACCCAGGGUAAAACCAGGAAAUGCCUACCCACAAGACCCACAGAAAAAGCAAUGGUGUGAUCUUAUUCUUCCUUAAAAUAACUUGCAAGUCUGUUGGUUUGUGGCAUUGCUGUUUAAUGGUACAGAGCAUUAUUACAGAAAAACAGCAUAAACCAAACAGUUUUCAUAAAGGAAAAAAAAGACAUCUUGGUUCAUUUGCUUUUUUCCUCCACUCCUGCGCUUCUAUCUCAAGGGUCACACAUCCUCCUACAUGGAAUGCCUGGAUGCAAGGCUUCACCAAGAAUUUUUCCUCUCUGAUGGCCAAUGGCACCAGGCAUUUCCCUAUCUCUUCUUCCAGGAGCAACAGCUGUUUAUUAUUCCUCAUGCCCACUCCCCAUGACCAAACAACUACACAGAAAACAGAAAAGCUGUUGAAGAAACGACACAGGUCAAUUGCUACACUAACAGAAUCAAGUCAAACUGAAAUAAAUGCAAACUGUAACUAAA
Molecule: long non-coding RNA, 927 nt
Organism: Pseudopipra pipra
Lineage: Eukaryota; Metazoa; Chordata; Aves; Passeriformes; Pipridae
Exons: 3
Source: RefSeq, a predicted model, not a curated record